GGCUACCGCUAUUGGAGUUCGAUUAAGCCAUGCGAGUCGAGAGUCCUCGGGACUCGGCGUACCGCUCAGCAACACGUGGGUAACCUGCCCUAUGCUGGGGAAUAACCUCGGGAAACUGAGAAUAAUGCCCCAUAGCCCACUACGCCUGGAACGGUGAGUGGGUCAAAGCCCCGGCGGCAUAGGAUGGGCCUGCGCCGUAUCAGGUUGUAGGGGGUGUAAAGUACCCUCUAGCCAUCAACGCGUACGGGUGUUGGGAGACAUUGCCCGGAGAUGGAUUCUGAGACACGAAUCCAGACCCUACGGGGUGCAGCAGGCGCGAAAACUUGGCAAUGCGAGAAAUCGUGACCAGGGAACUCCAAGUGCGUAGGGUAAGACCUACGCUUUUCUUGACUCUUCAAAGGUCUUGGAAUAAGGGGUGGGUAAGGACGGUGCCAGCCGCCGCGGUAAUACCGGCGCCUCAAGUGGUAGUCGCUUUUAUUGGGCCUAAAACGUCCGUAGCCGGUCUGGUGCAUUCGUGGGUAAAUCAACCCGCUCAACGGGUUGAAUUCUGCGAGCACGGCCAGACUUGGGACCGGGAGAGGUGUGGGGUACUCUCAGGGUAGGGGUAAAAUCCCGUCAUCCUGAGAGGACCACCUGUUGCGAAGGCGCCACACUAGAACGGAUCCGACGGUCAGGGACGAAACCUAGGGGCACGAACCGGGUUAGAUACCCGGGUAGUCCUAGGUGUAAACGCUGUGGACUUGAUGUUGGGGGCGCUCCGAGCGCUCUCAGUGUCGAAGCGAAGGUGAUAAGUCCACUGCCUGGGGAGUACGGUCGCAAGGCUGAAACUUAAAGGAAUUGGCGGGGGAGCACUGCAACCUGAGGAUUGUGCGGUUU
This 876-nucleotide ribosomal RNA is filed under the name uncultured archaeon. Its description in RNAcentral is "bacterial SSU rRNA". It matches the Rfam family "Archaeal small subunit ribosomal RNA", at positions 22 to 903 of the family's 1478-position model. The record is from RNAcentral.